This is a long non-coding RNA of Gallus gallus (chicken), 9014 nucleotides long. RefSeq lists it as uncharacterized. The record is from RefSeq and is a predicted model, not a curated record. The transcript is spliced from 14 exons. NCBI's taxonomy places the organism in Eukaryota, Metazoa, Chordata, Aves, Galliformes, Phasianidae.
AGCUAGCUAUAUAGCAUCUUCUGCACUUGUAUUCCUUGUCAAGUAAUAGCAUAGAGAUUCGCAUUAGAAUGGAGUCUGCGUGUAAUUAUGAAGGCAUUUGCAUUUUCUAUGAGGCAUUAGAUAUGGUAACCAUGCAACUGAAGUAAUGAGUAAUUUGACACUGUCACAGUUUAACAUUUAUGUGCUAUCUUACCAGUAGGAUGGGAGCAGAAAUGAUGAAUCCAGCACAAUCUGACCAGAAUGAGAUGAAAGUCCUCAGAGUGACAAAAAUGGGCACUGGGAAAGGCAGCUGCUGCUAAGAAGAUUUCACUGUGACAGAAAGCAAAAAGUGGAGGUCAGACUGUUGCCCAAAGAUCUGAUCCUGUUUAACCAGCCCUGAAGCUGUUCUGAAUGUGCUGUAGACCACUGAGAAUGGAUCGCCCCACACUGAUCAGUUUAUAGUGGGAAGGGCAAGGAAAUGGGACCGGGAGCAGAAUCAGUUUUGAGAUACUUAGGUAACAACAGCUGGAUCACCCUUUUCUCCCUAACAGGCAAGAAGGAGAGUGAGUGGUCCUAGGGCUAGAUAAGAGAUCCAUCAGGAUGGAUUUGUCUAGCCUGGGUGACAGGCAGGUGUUUGUCAGCGUGGGACUGCACAUAAAAGAUGGUCAAAUUAGCUGACUACCUUCGUAUCUCCCACUGAGUACUUUUAGACUGGUGGAAUUCUGCCUCAGUUACUUUUAUAGCCAUCCAAGGAAUUGACUCGGAUCAUUCAGUGCUAUGACCAGGCUUCACUCUGCACACUUUAGGGAUCUCUAAUGCAGUCUGCCUGAGGAACUACUUUGCAGGGCAGAGAAGCUAUUUAAAAACUAAAAGUGAUUGAAUCCAUAGAUGACACUUGAAAGUCUGAAACUUGUGGAGUGUUAUGUCAAAGCGGAUGGAAUUGCACAGAGGGACAGUACCUGGAGCAAUGGGAAGGCUACAAAGAAUUAUUCUGGCUUUUGGGUUAAAACUCCUCAAUCAACCCCAGAAAAGCCAACCAUUACCAAAUGAGGCAUUUUGGUACGUUUUAAUCCAAGCUGCAAGAGUAUGCAGCAUUUUCAGUGGAAUUACGUGAAGAUGUCAUAGAGAAGGAGGUUCUGAAAGAGAAGUGGUUGAAACAAUGAGCAGCGUGGAGGAGGUGCUGCUGCUGCAGUAUCCCUUGCGUACUACACUGAAAGAAAUUGCCUGGACGUGCACCUGGAAUGUGCUCAAAUGAUACCGUGCAACUUGGAAAUGCCCAGAGGCCUUUAUGGUGAGUUUUGUUGAACAAAGCACAGAAGUUCGAUUGCUGCAUGUCAAGAUGACACUAUUUUGAAUUAUUGGGGAAAAAAAAAAAGAUUUAAAAUAUUUGCUCUUUGAAUGAAAUGAGUAACUCCUAGAAUGACUUCAGGUGUGUAAGAAUCCAUCACUUCCCUAGCUAAUAGGAUUACAGAGGUGAUGAAUUGCCCACUGGAGGUUUUGAUAUCUCUGAAUAAAGAAGACAGCCUGCAAGCAAUACUUGCAGCCCGGGCAUUGCUAUAUACCGUGUUCUGGGCUCCACAGUAUAAAGAGGAUGUGAAGAUGCUUGACAGCAUCCGGAGGAGGGCAACAAAGCUGAAAGCACAAAAAUCUCAUGAAAGCAAAGAGAAUUGUACCUCCAAGAAACUCCUUAACAGCCACCACCACCAGAAGAUAAUGUCUGAUGAGCUUUUCUCAACCAAGAAUUUUCCUCCACCAUCUAAAAAAAAAGAUUGCAGUUGUUGCAAAGGAAUCAAGGAGAAAGAGGACAGCUGGGAGCAUUAAAAGCAGGCAAGUGUUUUUCUUUCCUUUUUUUGUUUUGUUUCUCUUCAAACUAAGAAGGAUGUGACUUCACUGUAUGCUUUCCUUCAACAACAAUAUUCCAUUCAUACCAGGAGAGUCCAGUGUUUCUAUCAGGCUCAAACAAAAUGCUAAAAUAAUUCUUUAAGCAAUAUAUAAAUUAUCGUCUUAUGGUGGCCAAACAAGUUUCUGUGCCAGCAAAAUAAUGCGCUGUCCCUCUCUGAUGGAUCAUUACUGAAUAGCAUGAGUUUUGCACAGAUUGUCAGCAAAAUAUAAGAAGUGACUGGCAGCACUGCACUGCCAUGCGUCCGAAGUACUCCAUGAGACACCACAAGAGACAGAGAAGGUAGGUACAAAGUCAGAGACUGUAUUGUGGAAAGUCUCCCUUGCCACAAGACACACCACUGACUCUAUUAGAACAAAAUCAGAGCCAAUUCGUAUCACUUUAUAUCAGGUGUCAAUUCAUAUCACACAACGUAAGGCACAAAGUCAUGACACUGAGUGUCUCACUUGUUGUCAAGUAUUUAUACCUCCUCUGUAAGCAGUGCAUCAAUAUCAAAGGUGACUGCUGAACGGAGAUUUAGAAUACAUCCCAUGUACAGAUUCUGCUUAGGCUGUGGAAGCAAAGUGUUUGCUAUGGAAGCAAUCAGCAAACUACAGAAAGGGCUUUUUAAAUUGAGGCUGUGGCUAUCUUAGAACCAGAGAUGACCAAAGAAGAAGGACAGGAGGCCCAGUGUCUCUUAUAGCUUGAAACAGUGAAGCAAAGAACACUUAUCCUCUAUGUCAGCCUAUGAAGGAGCUGGGAAUCUGUGCAAGGAAUCUUAAAUCUGUCAGGCAAUCAAGUCAAUAGAUCUAAUCCUAAAAGAACCUUUCUGAGUCUUUAGUUUGUUUGGAAAGGUAGGUGUGGAUUAUCUCUGGAUGGAGUGACUGUGAAGUCUAGUUAAUGGCUACACAGUUCUGUUCCUUACACAGUCCUUAGUCACUGAAAGAUUUUACAGAGGAGCCCACAGCAGUGAAUAUGAGCCAGAAAUAGAGCCACAGAGCUAUUCCUGAAAGCAGCCAACUGAAUCUGUACCUCUUUUCAAUGGGGAGAAGUAAACAAAAUCCAAAGUAAGUAAGUGGAAAUUCUACAGAACUCUUCUAAUAUUUCGGAUUAAAAAAAUGUAACUUCGUAGCUCUCAGAGUGACUGUUAAGAAAGCUGUGCACAUUGUUCCAGAGCAGACCUUGUCCGACCAAAACUGCUGAGCACAGCUUUUAUAUUGUUGUAUUAAUGCAAUUUAUUUACUAUGAAAUGUUCAGAUUAUUGAAUCCUAUUUUUCUACCAGCUGGUCAUACUGUGAAAAGCAAACCAUCCAGCCUAAAUAAAUAAAACAGUACCACUGUGCUGGCAUGUCAGAAGGUAGGCUACUCUGUAUAAUGGAAAUGCAAAUAUGGAAGCAGUUGUUAUUUCAUGGAUAAAUAAAACUUACAGAGAGAUGGUGCAAUGCUUUUUUUUCCCCCUCUUUUCUUCUGAUAAUCAUUAGGUCAUCAUAUACCAAUCCCUCCUUUGUUUGCCGUUGUAGUGCCCUGCUGUUAUGGAAGAAUGGCAUUUCAAAAGGGCUUAUGAGCAUCUCCUUUCUGAUCUAGUACCUCCGCAACCAGAGGCUGAGGUACUGAAUUGCCAAAGGCCUCCAAAAGUUAUUUUGCAGACACGUCCCUGGGCUGAAGAUUACUUGAGAUAAUAGCUGUUUCUCUAUGGGCCUCUUUUUCAUCUUUGAAAGUAUUCUCGGCAUACUUCAUGGGCAGCUCCCUGCGCUCCAGACAAGCAGCUGAUGACUAUGCUGUUUACUCACUGGGUCCUCUAUUUUUUGCAGUCAUUUCAAGGCUCAGGAAUUACACUAACUAAGAUUGGGAAUGCCAUGAUUUCAAACAAACCAGUAAAUACAUAUUUUUUUCCUAGACAAGCAGUGAAGUGUGCAGCUGAAGUGCAGGAGGAACUGAGGGGUUUUAACUUGGAGGGAUUGGGGUAUCAGAAAGGGAGUACUGCAAAGGUGAGUUGAGGAGGUUUGGAACUAUUGGGGAACAGGAGGUGAGGGCUCUGAGCUUGGCAGGCUUCAGAGCCACGAGGCACUGUAAAGUGGGGCUCUGGUAGUGUGGGCUCAAUGCUUAUCGUGGUAAUCCUACUUUAAUCCCAGUAUAUACCCUGACCUUGAAGAAAGGAAUCUGAGAACAGAGUAUUGUCUGCUUACCUCUCUGCCAUCCUUGACUUUGCAGCUCUCAGCUAAGAUCCGCUUGAAUAAGCAGCUACAUUUCUUGGUGCUUAUCCAAGCCACGGAUGCUCCUUGCAAAACCUGAUUCUGAAGAGACGAGCAUCGGGGCAGAAUACCUGGAAGUCUGACACCAGUCUUGCAGUGUGGCAUGGAACACGGACUGCAGCAGUCAGAGACCUGACCUGUGCCUCACUUCAGGUGAAGUUCGUGUCUUGCAGCUCCAGGGCUGUUCUCACAGCUUUCCCAGAAAGAGAAUUUGACUUUUGGUAUGCACUUUCUGGAGAUGAAAGUACACUGCUGCUUAUUUUUAUCUCAGAUCAAAUGAUGAGCAAUCACAUCUGGAGCAGGAUGCAGAAGAUCUGAAUAGAAGCCCAAGUUCUGUCACAGAUGCACAACAGAUUUUGGCAUGAUAGCUCCUGAUGUAGAUAUAUUCUGGCUAACUUUCAAGCUAACCAGGUGGGAUACGUAUAGCUGGAAGUCCUUAGGUAGGAUUCCCAGUCCCCAGCCUUCUGUACUUUUAAAUCUAUGCUGCUCAUGGUAUUCAGCCUUGUCAGCUCCAAAACUAGGCAGAAUGUGCCUGUAUUGACUGACACAUCAAUGUCUGCCUUGCAGAACAGCAGCUAUUCAGGCUCUGAAUCAUCCUGCUCUGUCAGGCCAUGGGGAAGGACUGGGAAGCCAGAAUCAUGGCAUCUGAAACUUCAUAUUCCUGCACUCUGGAGAGAACCUGUGGGUGAGCCCUGGGAGCCAGAGGCCUCAAAGUGCCAGAGGGCAACCAUGGCUCUUGGUGUCACCUAUGAAACUGAGGACUUGAAAUCCCUGACUUUAACCUGAAUACAGAUCCUUCCACCUUAAGCCCUUUCCUAAUGAAAUCAAUAUUCUGGUCAGCUCUACUGCUAAGAAAAACAGCUGUAGCAGGAAGGGGAACAUAUUUUGUUUUCCCAGGUCCCUGCGCUGAUGUUUCUCAAAUGAAAUUUUCUCUGACGUUCAGGCAUAAAAUCUUGAAAUUAAAAUGAAAUGUAAUUGCUAAUGAAUGGAAAGUAUUACAUGCUGGCCAGCUCUAUUUGUACAUACAAAAUAUCCUAGACACCUCAAAGUUUCUUUCAUGCCAUCUCAGAUUAUUGUCCUUUAUUGUUUUACCAAGAUCUCCAAAGCCAGCUGCUUAGGGGUUUUCACUGCCCAAACUCCCACUCGUUAUUCCAUUUGACACUCGGAUCCCUUGAGCAGCACUGAAAAAUUACUAAGCCUUAAUAUCUGUGCAAGAAUUCCAAACAAUAGCUACAACGAAGGAACUGGUCCUGGCACUAAAAACCCAUGAAUAUGUAAGACAAAUUGUAUCUGGAGAGAUAACGGGCUACCAGAAUCGUCUUUCAAAAGAUAUACAAUGUAAGCUGCACACUCCUCAAUAGCUCAAGGGGCUUACAGUCAAUAAAUUUAACAGGCUCAACCUAGAAAGUCAAAGCUAAAGUACAGUAUGCAAAUACAAGCUAGAGUGGACUCUUCUUUCUACCUUAGGACAGAGUUAAUAGAGGGGAAAUGACAAAAUACAUAAAAAGGAAUGCACGGGAUUUGACAGAGCAUGUUUUUUUUUCUUUUCACUUCAAGGCAAACUACCAGACUAUUUUGGUUUACAAAUAAAUCAAACAAAGAACUUUUAUCAGUUUGCAUAAAAGUCUCAUUUUCAGCACUGGAAAGAUUAAGCUUCAGAGCCUUUUUCUGUGUGUGUAUGUGAGGGAUUACAAAGGAAGUAGUGUAAAUAAUGACCUUGCUGAAAACAGAUUAGCUUCAAUGAUUAUAUAGUAAAAUAGUAAUGUUUUCUUCACUUACAGAUUAAAAUAUCAAUUGACAGUUUCCAUAAACAAGUAAAGCUCAUGGUUAUUCAGUGUAAUAGGAUAAUGACAGUAGCAGUAUCUGACAGCCCCAUUUCUGCCUCUUGACAUUAUUUAUGGUAUUCUGAUGCUCAGUCUAGGGAGCUGGAUCUUCAGCUUUGCCAGAUGUGUUUGCUGUGGCUCAGUGUUUAUGUGACAAAAACAUUUCCUUUAGGAAUUUCCUUUAUUUUACAGUUAUGUGGUCACACUAAAUACAAAUGUAUUGGACCCAUCACAUUCUUAUGGUUAUAAUCUUUUAAAGUCAACUUUUCAAGACCUACCCCUACUGCUUUCAGGUGACUAAGAGCACAUAUGGGCUGAUUUCUCACUAGCUUACCCCUCAUACUGACAUCUACACUUAGUUUAAGUUGUCGGUCAAAACUGAAGCAGCUGGACUAUUCCCACCGAGACUCUGUUUUUCUUUUUUUUCUCUCCUGUCUUUGCUGUUUCUAAAAAGUACUACAAAGGAUGGAAACAGCAUACAUGGGAUGGAUACGGUGUUGGGUGUGGCAGGCCAGGUCUCUGCUCUGACUCAAUGGGGACUCUCAGGACAGAAAAAUCCAGCUUUGAGAGGGGCAGAGCAGAAGAAGGCUCCUGUAGUCCAAGUUAGUAUUUUAAUACAGAAAGCAACAGGCAAAUAUUCCUUCUCUUUGUGAGCAGGUCGGUGUUUAUGAGCACAAACUCAUCACAGGAGCCUUGGCUUGCAGUACCUGGGUUCUUCAAACAAAGCAAAGUGCAGUCUUGUCUAGCGUAUGUCCUGGCAGAGAAACCAGGGCUUUAAAGCAGCCUAUAAAAAUUAUGGUACACUAGCAAAAUUGGUUAAUGUUUAAUUAUGUUCAAUGGAGAAAGACUUAAAAGCCUGAAAUUGUGACUUCCUAAAUUGUCAAUCAUCUAAAAGACGCAGUAAGUUAAGAUUUUUCUUGAACAGUAUCUUCUAUUAAAUUUAUUAAGCUGUAUGACACUGAGCCUGGGUUUCUACUUUAACUUCAUGCCAAUGGAAAGGAAGAUAAGCAGACAGGAAAGAGGGUAUUGUGCUAUAGACUUGAGGUGCUGGAUUUUUUUUUUUUCUUUUAAAUUCUAUCACAAAACUUGUUUUAGGCAGAUCUCUGAAAAGAGCUCCCCCGAACUGGUCAAUGCAUCUUCAAAAAGGCUGUUAACCCUAACUGUGGGUAUUUGUACUCAUGGUAUGCCAUUUCUUAGCCUGUGUCUCUACAACAGUUUGUGAGUGCUGCGUAAUGGGGCUGUAGGCAAACACUGUGUAAAGCAGUCACAUCCAGCAAUGGUAGCAGUCUGUCUUCAGAAGCACAGAGCACAGUUCAAGCUACAAAAUCCAUUCAGAAUGUCGAAAAAAAUCAAGGAGAUUAACUUAUGCUGCACUCAGUGCUGCUCUAGUUGGUUUAAAACCUUAGCCAUAUUUACACUGAAGGGUCAAAAUGGUAGAAACAAACAAAACAAAUGAGCCUCAGCACCUGUUGUACAUGCAAGUAAUUGGAAAAAAAAAGGCUUAAAAAACAGGCUGCCAACCUUUGAUCUAUGGAGAAGGUGUCUGGACAUCACACAAGAUAUGACAGAGGAGCUCUCAAUGUAGAAGGGCAAUAGUAAGAAGCCACCCAGGGAAAGCAACAGACUAAUCUCAGAGUCCAGUGUAAGCAGAAAUCUUCUAACAGACAAAAUCAAUCCCUUCCAUGUUUUCUUUGUAGCUAAGUUGAGGAAACUAUCUCACGUAGAGAGUGAAAAAUGCACAUCCAGUGUAAUAAAUCUGCAUCCACAUAUGUCUAGCAAUUCACUUUUUCUUAUAAUUACCUUUUCUCUGUUAGUUCCUCUUGUUUCUUCAGCAGUCGUCCCAUGGAUACUUUCACGAAGAUGAUCUUGAGAAUAGAGAAUGCGCUGUCUUGUAAAGAGAAGAGAAAAUAAAAGGUUUUUGAGGGUUCUAUUCACCAUAACACGCCCAAGGGACUUCACGUACCAUCUAACUGUGCUGAUGGUAGCAGGAAAAGGCAACAGACAAAUGUAAGUCGACAAACUAGAACGCUGUUGUGCUUUCAGACUGCAUUAAAAAAGUGAAAGUCUAAAUGUUUUUCCUUUUCUUUACUUUUGCUUAGAAGUCUUUGAGGAAAGACUGAUGUUCCUUUUCCUUUACUUUUCCCAAAGUUUUAUUUUCCAGGUGUUGGGCCUGCAAAGAGCUGCUUUUAAAACUCUGGCGACAAUUUUACAUUCUGAAAGGAAUUCAAACAUUUUCACUUGCUCCAAAAUAUAUCAACUUAUAUAGCUUAUAUAACAAAUAUAGCUUAACAUUAAAAAAUACGGUGCCGUUACAUUUAUAAAACCCAAACCUUAAAUUCUUCAGUAUAAACUCCUUUACUUGUCAACUCUAUUUCAAUACAGAAAAAUAAUUUUAAAUACGAUCACUAUAAUAUCCUUAUGACAUACUUUUUUAUGAAGGUAUAGGAAAGGAGUCAGCAGUAUUCUGAAUACUAACUGAACAUAGCUUAUGACUAUGGCUAGCCAGACAGUAUUUGAAGUAGAUGGGAUCUGUUUCUGCUUUGUCUGGUCUUUGCCCAUAUCUAACCUAUAAAAAAGGCAAUUACUGAAGCAAAUGAUGAAGUUAGUAUUCAAUAAGAUAGUAAACUACUCAGUCAAAUGGUAUCAUACAGGUAAGAAAGGUCAAAUAGAAUUGAAACAGCAUAUUUAAGAAGAGGUAGGAAGCAUCAGCCCUAUCUACAAACAAUCAGUGAAGGGUAGGAUUUUCAACAGCCCCACUGAAGUUGAAGGGAAUCUCCCACUGACUCAAGCCAGUCAAACUUUAACUUUUAACUUUUUGGAAAACUUUAACCAAUCUAAUUUCAAAGGUCAUGUGCUUGUUGUUCAAAAUUAUGUGACUGUAAAUAACUUUUGUUACAGCAAAUGCUUAUCUGAUUUUAUAUUGCAUAACAAAAGGAUACAAUCUCACUCUGUAAGAUGCUCUAAACAGCGAAUUAUUUGUGAAGCAGUUCUAUCAUUACCUUAGUUGCCACUUGCUGUUCUCGAGUCCACAUUUUGUUUGUGUCACUGGUUCUAUUAAACUGCAGUGUUUCUUUUUUCUAA